Triticum aestivum (bread wheat) is the source of this 602-nucleotide long non-coding RNA. RefSeq lists it as uncharacterized. The transcript is spliced from 3 exons. The record is from RefSeq and is a predicted model, not a curated record. Lineage: Eukaryota; Viridiplantae; Streptophyta; Magnoliopsida; Poales; Poaceae.
UGACCGAGCCCACUCGCCCUAGAGCCUUCGCGCACACACCUCCGGCCUCUCUCGCGCGCGCGUCCCCGGCGCUGGUCCCUUCGCCGGCGGCGGCCUAUCUCCUUCGCCACGACGGAAGAAGCUUCUACAUAAUCUGAGCUUAAUUCCUCCUUCUCGACUAGGUCUGAUUUGCGUGACAGUAAGCUAACAUAAAGACAUGGACCUUCACAAGGAAGUCAGUGCUGCUAAAUUAACUGAUGAUCUAGUGGUUGAUAUCCUCUCCCGGUUGAAUUACAAGUCUUUUUGCCGCUGCAAGUGUGCCUAUAAGGCAUGGUCUGCUUACUCCUCUGAUCCAGACUACCGCCAGAAGCUGCCCAAACCCACUGGCCUUUUGUACCAAGGCCACAAUAAGUCUGCUAUCUCGCUUGUUAGCCUGUCCCAAGACGAUGGAGAAGUCGGUGGAAUUCUUGCUUACGUGCCACAUUAUGAGCAUUUAGAAUUUCUUGACUGCUACAAUGGUCUUAUCCUUUGUAAGUACAGGAGCAGCUAUACUUCUCCAGGCAUUUGCCGCUUUGUUGUGUGCAACCCAGCAACACGAGAGUGGAGAAUACUUCCUGAUACAC